This 462-nucleotide ribosomal RNA is filed under the name Phascolosoma nigrescens. RNAcentral describes it as "partial 16S ribosomal RNA". It matches the Rfam family "Bacterial large subunit ribosomal RNA", at positions 1851 to 2598 of the family's 2925-position model. The record is from RNAcentral. Lineage: Eukaryota; Metazoa; Annelida; Sipuncula; Phascolosomatiformes; Phascolosomatidae.
AGUCCAGCCUGCCCAGUGAGUAUUUUAACGGCCGCGGUAACCUGACCGUGCUAAGGUAGCGCAAUCAAUUGCCCUUUAAUUGUGGGCUAGUAUGAAUGGCUAGACAAGAGCUUAACUGUCUCAAAGGACCAUAAUGGAACUUGACCUUUAGGUGCAGAGGCCUAAAUAUUAGUGAAAGACAAGAAGACCCUAUCGAGCUUUAAUUUCAAUUAUUGUAAAAAAAUUAUAUAAAUUUUUAUUGGGGCAAUACAGGAACACAUAAAGCUUCCUUUUACUACAAGUUUAACGUAAUAAAUGAAACAUAUUUUUUGCUCACCGGCAUAAGCUACCGUAGGGAUAACAGACUAAUUUUCCUUGAGAGUCCACAUUGACAGGAAAGUUUGGCACCUCGAUGUUGGCUUAAAAAACAGUCACGAAGCAGCAUUCUGACCCUGKAGGUUUUGUUCCACCUUUAAAAAUUUA